Caenorhabditis elegans is the source of this 21-nucleotide non-coding RNA. Lineage: Eukaryota; Metazoa; Nematoda; Chromadorea; Rhabditida; Rhabditidae. The record is from Ensembl.
UUAUGAACCCGCAAUGCGAGC